This 65-nucleotide transfer RNA is filed under the name Dipodomys ordii (Ord's kangaroo rat). It matches the Rfam family "tRNA". From Rfam's summary of the family: Transfer RNA (tRNA) molecules are approximately 80 nucleotides in length. Their secondary structure includes four short double-helical elements and three loops (D, anti-codon, and T loops). Lineage: Eukaryota; Metazoa; Chordata; Mammalia; Rodentia; Heteromyidae. The record is from Rfam by way of RNAcentral.
GGUGGCUCAGCGGUAGAGCGCUUGCCUUGCAUGCAAGAGGCCCUGGGUUCAAUUCCUCAGCACCA